GUGCUCACUUUGGCAGCACAUAUGCUAAAAUUGGAAUGAUACAGAGAAGAUUAGCAUGGCCCACAUGCAAGGAUGUCAGGCAAAUUUGUGAAGCGUUCCAUAUUUUU
Molecule: small nuclear RNA, 107 nt
Organism: Marmota marmota marmota (Alpine marmot)
Lineage: Eukaryota; Metazoa; Chordata; Mammalia; Rodentia; Sciuridae
Source: Ensembl